This 445-nucleotide ribosomal RNA is filed under the name uncultured bacterium. RNAcentral's name for it is "partial 16S ribosomal RNA". It matches the Rfam family "Bacterial small subunit ribosomal RNA", at positions 354 to 796 of the family's 1533-position model. The record is from RNAcentral.
GUGAGGAAUAUUGCGCAAUGGAGGCAACUCUGACGCAGCCAUGCCGCGUGCAGGAAGAAGGCGCUACGCGUUGUAAACUGCUUUUAACCGGGAAGAAACCCCAGGACGUGUCCUGGGUUGACGCUACCGGAGGAAUAAGCACCGGCUAACUUCGUGCCAGCAUCCGCGGUAAUACGAAUGGUGCAAGCGUUAUCCGGAUUCAUUGGGUGUAAAGGUUGCGUAGUCUGAGCGUUAAUUCAGUGGUGAAAUCCUGCAGCUUAACUGUAGACUUGCCAUUGAUACUGGCGCUCUUGAGUGCGCUUGAAGUGGGCGGAAUGUGCCGUGUAGCGGUGAAAUGCUUAGAUAUGGCACAGAACACCAAUUGCGAAGGCAGCUCACUAAGGCGAUACUGACGCUGAGGCACGAAAGCGUGGGGAUCGAACAGGAUUAGAAACCCUAGUAGUCC